GGCUAGUCUCAAGGUAGCAAGUUGUCUCCAUUGACUGCUCACAGUUACACAUGGAACUCCUUGAUCUACUCUUUCCCUCCUUCUCAUGACUAGUCUUAA
Molecule: small RNA, 99 nt
Filed under: Saimiri boliviensis boliviensis (Bolivian squirrel monkey)
Lineage: Eukaryota; Metazoa; Chordata; Mammalia; Primates; Cebidae
Description: Y RNA (ENSSBOG00000000311.1)
Source: RNAcentral